UAUCAGGCCCGCCACAGUCCUGAGGGGGUAUGGCUUUGUGCAGGGUUGCUUCAUGCCAGUGCACACAUUUAAGUGUGAGAAGAAUGCUAAGUAGUCUACAUGAAACUCCAGAGACUGGAAUGAGGGGAUUGACGUCAAAUGCAAAAUUCACACAAAAUUAGAUUUUCAUAUCUUCUGCAACGUCUUCUAAAACGGAAAGCAUAAUUUCACACUGGAACCUACAUUUGGGUCAUGACAGGUUGCAAAGUUACAGGAGGGCCAAAUCUCACCUGGAGCUGCAGCUAGCGAGAGAUGUCAAGAGUAACAAGAAGAGUUUCUUCAGCAGCUCCUCUCAGGACUCUUCCAUUGAGCACAUGCGCAAAGGAAGAAGUAAAUGAAGUUGAUAUUAAUGUCUUGAUAUACUACUGGCAAUGAAGAAGUAGUGCCCCUGCAUCCUAUAUCAUAUAAAGCCAAGUGAGAUGGCUGUUUCUGUGAUGCGAAUCUCUCUACUAGGAACAGGACUGAGACCACAAACAAAUGACUAACUAAAAAUUAUUUCCAGCAUUACCUACCUGAACUGAUCAGACUAACGGAGCAAGAGUCCUACAUCCUACCAUUUCACAAAAUCGAACACUAAACGUAUUUAUAAUUGGGGUGUAUGUGUGUGUAUAUAGUGUCAAUUAAAGUAUAAACCUCUAAUCUACUUAUAUCAACAUUUGAUACAAUAUAGCAACUGAAGAUGAUUUAAUAACUAAACUUUGGUUAGUGAGGAUAGCAGAAAGCGAUAUUUAAUUUUACUACAGGGCAUGACAUUACACUCUAACACAUUCUAAAAAUCAUGCUUAAAGCACUAAUUUUCAAAUAUGAAUUUCAGUUUCUCUACUGUAGUGAAGGAAAACAGCAAAACGUCUGCAAGUACCAAGACUGAGAAAAAUUGCUUUAGACCAAAUAAAUGCAAGUAGAUUACCAGAAAACAGUACUUCAUAGAAAUUAACAAAGAUUCCCAUGAAAGAAGAAGGAGAAACUUCAGAAAUAUAUAAGAUAUCAAUUACAGUAUGAUGAUUUCAUAAGCCUGUCACAGUCUAUGCAGUUUUUAAAAGAGAAAGAAAUCUGAAGCAGAACUCCUUUCCUUUUGAUUUCUGCAUACAUUAUGACAAAACAGAACCAAGCUGAACAUAAUUAAAACAUCAUAGUUAUCUCCAGGUCCUCGUAACUUCUGCAAACCAAACCAUUUGUACAUUCCUCUUGUAAUAUAUUUUGUCACAAGAACCUUAUAAUAAAAAUACAUCCUUAUA
Caretta caretta (loggerhead turtle) is the source of this 1274-nucleotide long non-coding RNA. RefSeq lists it as uncharacterized. The record is from RefSeq and is a predicted model, not a curated record. NCBI's taxonomy places the organism in Eukaryota, Metazoa, Chordata, Testudines, Cheloniidae.